GGCCCUACGGGGUGCAGCAGGCGCGAAAACUUUACAAUGCUGGGAACAGCGAUAAGGGAACCUCGAGUGCCAGGUUACAAAUCUGGCUGUCGUGAUGCCUAAAAAGCAUUAUAUAGCAAGGGCCGGGCAAGACCGGUGCCAGCCGCCGCGGUAACACCGGCGGCUCGAGUGGUAACCGUUAUUAUUGGGUCUAAAGGGUCUGUAGCCGGCCGGAUAAGCCUCUUGGGAAAUCUGGCAGCUCAACUGUCAGGCUUUCAGGGGAUACUGUCUGGCUCGAGGCCGGGAGAGGUGAGAGGUACUUCAGGGGUAGGGGUGAAAUCUUGUAAUCCUUGAAGGACCACCAGUGGCGAAGGCGUCUCACCAGAACGGACCUGACGGCAAGGGACGAAAGCUAGGGGCACGAACCGGAUUAGAUACCCGGGUAGUCCUAGCCGUAAACGAUACUCGCUAGGUGUCGGCCACGGUGCGACCGUUGUCGGUGCCGUAGGGAAGCCGUGAAGCGAGCCACCUGGGAAGUACGGCCGCAAGGCUGAAACUUAAAGGAAUUGGCGGGGGAGCACCACAACGGGUGGAGCUUGCGGUUUAAUUGGAUUCAACGCCGGAAAUCUUA
Molecule: ribosomal RNA, 610 nt
Filed under: uncultured archaeon
Lineage: Archaea
Description: bacterial SSU rRNA
Rfam family: Archaeal small subunit ribosomal RNA
Source: RNAcentral